Molecule: long non-coding RNA, 636 nt
Organism: Ipomoea nil (Japanese morning glory)
Lineage: Eukaryota; Viridiplantae; Streptophyta; Magnoliopsida; Solanales; Convolvulaceae
Exons: 2
Source: RefSeq, a predicted model, not a curated record
CUCCGUCCACCGCAUGAGCCCGCAUCCGGACUCUCCGGCAGUCCUCCUCCAACGUGAAUUGCAACAAGAUGCUACGCCUAUCCAAGGAUCCUAUCUGCACUUCCCCUUCCAGACGAAGGAUUUCUCAAAUUUUUGCCCUAAUUGCAUCCAGAAGCGGCCCCCCUUCGCAAAACGCUCAAUCAAGGACAAAUUCUGGCAACAAAUCGAUGCUCUGACCUCCAAUCGACUGAUAAUCCUCUGGAUUUACCUUCAGAUUCUCAAAAAUUACGUUUGAUCAAGACAAAUCUAACUUAUCUCGCCUCAAGAAAUAUGGUCGAACGGUUCGUGCAUUUGUGCAACGAAGAACAGCUUAAUCUCGAAUAUUCUGAACAAUUUCUGGACAAUCAGGUCGUGAAUCAGCAUUUUGCUCACCGAUCGGAGCAUUCUCUACCAACUUGCCGUCGAGAAUCUCACUCUGCUCGAGCUUAAGCUCUUUCUACGCCUCUUCUUCACCUCCGGGCUCUCCUCCAAGUCGGAUAUUUUGCUCAUUUUCCGAUCAAAGUCGCCGGCUUUCGAACGGGUCGUCGCCGAGAAGAACGACUCGUUCUUGGUCCGGUCAAUUAGGAGCAGAUCAGGAAAAGACUGUUUUGUCCCUCA